CGCAGAGCGGGGACAGCCGUGGGGACGGUGCUGUGGGGUGGCGGCACAGCAGAGGCGGUGAGGAGCUGAUGGAGCGCACGGGGCAGGUAUGUGCGCCCCCACGGCCCCCCACGGCCCCCCACCCCCCGCUGCCGGUGGCGAUGAGGCGGUGGCCCAUCCGGCUGUGCUUGCAGAGCUGCCGUGGAAGCUGGGGGGGGCCGCGGGGGGCUCUCUGCUGCUCGUCGCGCUGAUCUCCCUCUGCUGCUGGCGCCGCAGGAGGAGGGCAGACACCCCGGACGUCUACGUGAACAUCGUAUCCCUCCGGACCCCGAGGAACAGGAGCCCCCAGGGAGCAGCUGCUGGAGGACAGCGCAUACAAAGGGGGCUGGACCGAGCGUGGGAGCCCCCCAGCCCUAAGGGGUGACCCCCCCCCACCCCCCGCCCCACAGCCCCCCGAUAUGGCAGGGAUGGGGUGUGAGCGAUGCGCUCCGUUCUGCUUCACACAGGAAGAGCCCGCAGUGGGGUUACAGC
RNAcentral lists this long non-coding RNA (510 nucleotides) under Gallus gallus (chicken). Lineage: Eukaryota; Metazoa; Chordata; Aves; Galliformes; Phasianidae. The record is from RNAcentral.